Molecule: ribosomal RNA, 721 nt
Filed under: Conoideocrella tenuis
Lineage: Eukaryota; Fungi; Ascomycota; Sordariomycetes; Hypocreales; Clavicipitaceae
Description: LSU rRNA
Rfam family: Eukaryotic large subunit ribosomal RNA
Source: RNAcentral
CGAGGUGCCUUCCGAGUUCCCUGGAACGGGACGCCAUAGAGGGUGAGAGCCCCGUCUGGUUGGAUACCGAGCCUCUGUAAAGCUCCUUCGACGAGUCGAGUAGUUUGGGAAUGCUGCUCUAAAUGGGAGGUAUAUGUCUUCUAAAGCUAAAUACCGGCCAGAGACCGAUAGCGCACAAGUAGAGUGAUCGAAAGAUGAAAAGCACUUUGAAAAGAGGGUUAAAUAGUACGUGAAAUUGUUGAAAGGGAAGCGCUUAUGACCAGACUUGGACCCGGUGAAUCAUCCAGCGUUCUCGCUGGUGCACUUUGCCGGGCUCAGGCCAGCAUCAGUUUGUCUCGGGGGAUAAAGGCUUAGGGAAUGUGGCUCCUCCGGGAGUGUUAUAGCCCUUUGCACAAUACCCUGGGGCGGACUGAGGUUCGCGCAUCUGCAAGGAUGCUGGCGUAAUGGUCAUCAGCGACCCGUCUUGAAACACGGACCAAGGAGUCGUCUUCGUAUGCGAGUGUUCGGGUGUAAAACCCCUACGCGUAAUGAAAGUGAACGCAGGUGAGAGCUUCGGCGCAUCAUCGACCGAUCCUGAUGUUCUCGGAUGGAUUUGAGUAAGAGCAUACGGGGCCGGACCCGAAAGAAGGUGAACUAUGCCUGUAUAGGGUGAAGCCAGAGGAAACUCUGGUGGAGGCUCGCAGCGGUUCUGACGUGCAAAUCGAUCGUCAAAYAUGGGCAU